AGAAUCAACGCUGGCGGCGUGCCUCAGACAUGCAAGUCGAACGCGAAAGUCCCCUUCGGGGGACAAGUAGAGUGGCGCACGGGUGAGUAACACGUAGGUAAUCUACCUUCGGAUGGGGAAUAACAAUCGGAAACGGUUGCUAAUACCGCAUAAUGCAGCGGCACCUAAUGGUGACAGUUGUUAAAGCGGGGGAUCGAAAGACCUCGCGUCUGAAGAGGAGCCUGCGGCGGAUUAGCUAGUUGGUAAGGUAAUGGCUUACCAAGGCGACGAUCC
RNAcentral lists this ribosomal RNA (273 nucleotides) under uncultured soil bacterium. Its description in RNAcentral is "partial 16S ribosomal RNA". It matches the Rfam family "Bacterial small subunit ribosomal RNA", at positions 26 to 282 of the family's 1533-position model. The record is from RNAcentral.